This 607-nucleotide ribosomal RNA is filed under the name uncultured cyanobacterium. RNAcentral's name for it is "bacterial SSU rRNA". It matches the Rfam family "Bacterial small subunit ribosomal RNA", at positions 160 to 800 of the family's 1533-position model. The record is from RNAcentral. Lineage: Bacteria; Bacillati; Cyanobacteriota.
CCGCUAAUACCCCAUAUGCCGAGAGGCGAAAUGAAAUUCGCCUGAGGAUGAGCUCGCGUCUGAUUAGCUAGUUGGUAGGGUAAAGGCCUACCAAGGCAUUGAUCAGUAGCUGGUCUGAGAGGAUGAUCAGCCACACUGGGACUGAGACACGGCCCAGACUCCUGCGGGAAGCAGCAGUGGGGAAUUUUCCGCAAUGGGCGCAAGCCUGACGGAGCAACGCCGCGUGAGGGAUGAAGGCCUCUGGGCUGUAAACCUCUUUUAUCAAGGAAGAAGAACUGACGGUACUUGAUGAAUAAGCCACGGCUAAUUCCGUGCCAGCAGCCGCGGUAAUACGGGAGUGGCAAGCGUUAUCCGGAAUUAUUGGGCGUAAAGCGUCCGCAGGCGGUUUUACAAGUCUGUCGUUAAAGCGUGGAGCUCAACUCCAUUUCAGCGAUGGAAACUGUAAGACUCGAGUGUGGUAGGGGCAGAGGGAAUUCCCGGUGUAGCGGUGAAAUGCGUAGAUAUCGGGAAGAACACCAGUGGCGAAAGCGCUCUGCUGGGCCAUAACUGACGCUCAUGGACGAAAGCCAGGGGAGCGAAAGGGAUUAGAUACCCCUGUAGUCCUGGC